This 468-nucleotide ribosomal RNA is filed under the name uncultured bacterium. RNAcentral describes it as "partial 16S ribosomal RNA". It matches the Rfam family "Bacterial small subunit ribosomal RNA", at positions 28 to 507 of the family's 1533-position model. The record is from RNAcentral.
GACGAACGCUGGCGGCGUGCUUAACACAUGCAAGUCGAACGGAAAGGCCCUGCUUUUGUGGGGUGCUCGAGUGGCGAACGGGUGAGUAACACGUGAGUAACCUGCCCUUGACUUUGGGAUAACUUCAGGAAACUGGGGCUAAUACCGGAUAGGAGCUCCUGCUGCAUGGUGGGGGUUGGAAAGUUUCGGCGGUUGGGGAUGGACUCGCGGCUUAUCAGCUUGUUGGUGGGGUAGUGGCUUACCAAGGCUUUGACGGGUAGCCGGCCUGAGAGGGUGACCGGGCACAUUGGGAAUGAGAGACGGCCCAGACUCCUACGGGAGGCAGCAGUGGGGAAUAAUGCAAAAUGGGCGGAAGCCUGAUGCAGCAACGCCGCGUGCGGGAUGACGGCCUUCGGGGUGUAAACCGCUUUCGCCUGUGACGAAGCGUGAGUGACGGUAAUGGGUAAAGAAGCACCGGCUAACUACGUG